AGUGAACGCUGGCGGCAGGCCUAACACAUGCAAGUCGAGCGGCAGCGGGUUCCCGCGAGGGGAUGCCGGCGAGCGGCGGACGGGUGAGGAACACAUCGGAAUCUGCCUGGUUAGUGGGGGAUAACGUAGGGAAACUUACGCUAAUACCGCAUGCGACCCUGAGUCGACGGACUUGGGGUGAAAGUGAGGGACCUUCGGGCCUCACGCGACCAGAUGAGCCGAUGUCGG
Molecule: ribosomal RNA, 228 nt
Filed under: uncultured bacterium
Lineage: Bacteria
Description: partial 16S ribosomal RNA
Rfam family: Bacterial small subunit ribosomal RNA
Source: RNAcentral